GGACGUAUAGGAAAGUGGUCAAAUCCGCUGUGUUCAGGUCGCAGUCCCUUGUGGUUCGCAGGUUCGAAUCCUGCUGCGUCCA
This is a non-coding RNA of Gaertneriomyces semiglobifer, 82 nucleotides long. Lineage: Eukaryota; Fungi; Chytridiomycota; Chytridiomycetes; Spizellomycetales; Spizellomycetaceae. The record is from the annotation of a GenBank genome assembly.